Molecule: long non-coding RNA, 229 nt
Organism: Lagopus leucura (white-tailed ptarmigan)
Lineage: Eukaryota; Metazoa; Chordata; Aves; Galliformes; Phasianidae
Exons: 4
Source: RefSeq, a predicted model, not a curated record
CUCACAACUUUCAUGUUUCAACAGCUCUUGCUGUCUUUGCAGGUUUGACUUUAUCUGGUCUCUCCUGAUAACAAAGGAAUUCCUCAUCUAUCGAAGUCUUCCAUCUACAGAGAACUCCAAUGCAGUGCAUCACUGGCUGUCCCCUUCUCCUCCUCCUCCAGACUCAAGAGAACUUGAAGUCAGGUGCGGAAGAUCAGGCAUAUUCUGGAGUCCUCUGUCUGCCUCUGUG